CUUCUGAGGCCUCACAUGACUGGGUGUGAGCCUGGCCCCCUGCUUUCAGCCCUGACCGACAAAGAGGCACCUGGCCAGACAGAGGCUGAGGGAGGGGCCAGGUCUGCAUAUUCCUUCCUGAGACAUUGUCACAUCCUCUGAAGUCAUUUGCAUGAUGUUUCAAACCCUGCACUGUGGCUCAUUUUCCUUUGGACACCAUGAGGCUCCAGUUCUGGACAUCAUGGGACCAACCCAGGCCCAGACAUGAAACAGGGAGCUGGGAUCUGUAUACAGGAAACACAGGGGACAGAAGAACAGAACUUCUCCUUGGAACAUGUCUGAUGGCAACACCUUCCUCCAGGCUGCAGGGAGGCUUCUAACCCCCCUGUGUGAAAUUUCAGCCCCCUUACCCGACCCCCAGCACUCCCUAUUCCCCGUUCCUGGUUUUGUUU
Long non-coding RNA from Manis javanica (Malayan pangolin), 431 nucleotides. RefSeq lists it as uncharacterized. Lineage: Eukaryota; Metazoa; Chordata; Mammalia; Pholidota; Manidae. The record is from RefSeq and is a predicted model, not a curated record.